Molecule: transfer RNA, 81 nt
Filed under: Paragonimus westermani
Lineage: Eukaryota; Metazoa; Platyhelminthes; Trematoda; Plagiorchiida; Troglotrematidae
Description: tRNA-Arg
Rfam family: tRNA
About the family: Transfer RNA (tRNA) molecules are approximately 80 nucleotides in length.
Source: RNAcentral
GGUUUCGUAGCUCAGCUGGUAGAGGGCUUGCUGCGUUCAGGUAUGCUGCGUCUGUCGCUGGUUCGAAUCCAGCCGAAGCCC